Long non-coding RNA from Sinocyclocheilus rhinocerous, 290 nucleotides. RefSeq lists it as uncharacterized. Lineage: Eukaryota; Metazoa; Chordata; Actinopteri; Cypriniformes; Cyprinidae. The transcript is spliced from 2 exons. The record is from RefSeq and is a predicted model, not a curated record.
AGGAGAUCUUCAUCAGAUAAAGAGGAAAGGGUGAGCGCAGACCGGGCACCACAGAAGACUCCAGCACAGACGUGAAUGAUUUUACCUGAUGGAUUUAAUGGAAUGAUGAACAGCACUUGUCCGGAUUAGGUAAUGGUACAUGUUAAAGAGUAUGUACUACUGUGUAGUGUGUGUGUGAGAGAGAAUGAAUGAGCACGUGGCUAUUAUUCCUCUAACUGUAUUGAGGAGUGGCAUUUAGCUUCAAUUGCUUUGUUUUUUUUGUAUCAUUUCUGUUCCUGUAGAGCUGAAAC